Molecule: ribosomal RNA, 385 nt
Filed under: uncultured bacterium
Lineage: Bacteria
Description: bacterial SSU rRNA
Rfam family: Bacterial small subunit ribosomal RNA
Source: RNAcentral
AUUAAACGCUGGCGGCAUGCCUUACACAUGCAAGUCGAACGGCAGCACGGGGGCAACCCUGGUGGCGAGUGGCGGACGGGUGAGUAAUACAUCGGAACGUGCCCUGGAGUGGGGGAUAACGUAGCGAAAGUUACGCUAAUACCGCAUAUUCUGUGAGCAGGAAAGCAGGGGAUCGCAAGACCUUGCGCUCUGGGAGCGGCCGAUGUCGGAUUAGCUAGUUGGUGGGUAAAGGCCUACCAAGGCGACGAUCCGUAGCGGGUCUGAGAGGACGACCCGCCACACUGGAACUGAGACACGGUCCAGACUCCUACGGGAGGCAGCAGUGGGGAAUUUUGGACAAUGGGGGCAACCCUGAUCCAGCCAUGCCGCGUGAGUGAAGAAGGCC